UGAAGUAGUUAUAGGUAGAAACUCCAUACAGUUGGGAAGAGAGAGCAAUUCCAUUUAUGGAAAGUUGUUUAUAGUCACUGAUGAGUGUGUGAGCAAGUUGCCGAAGUUGGAAAGAAGGUCACUGUGAAUUCAAGGAGCUGAUGGGACCAGGCACCAGAGCAGCAUUGAAGUAUUGUUUUAAAUAGCCAAGAAUUGGAGCAGGGGCAGUACUGGAAAAAUGGACUGAUGCAGAAGGUAUUUGUGGGGAAAUAGGAGGAAUGAUACCAGGAAUCUGUAGACCAUGGUGAAAAUGAAGGUGCAUUGGUUAUAAAAUGUUGUGAGGUGAGAUUUACAUUGGAGAUUUUAGGUAGGAGGGAAGCCAUAUGGAGUUAGGAGCAAGGAGGACUCCCCACUUACACGUCCAGUGGGAGAAGGGAUGGUAGGGGGAAAAACACACUUGGGAGGGCUACAAAGUCCCAGUGUCCCCAGAAUAAAUCAGUUAAUGAUUGGAAACAUGCAAAUGGAAGCAACUUGCAGUGAUAGUUUAUAUCCACUCAGGAUGCAGACGUAACAUGUGGGCCUUCCAAGGCAGGUUACUGUGAAACUAAUUCAUCCCUUCUUCAUUAGGACCAUGCUAAUUUGGUAGAGCCUUUUAAAAGUCAACAUGGGGUCCUGUACGAACUCUCCCGCCGCCCCCCCCCCCCCCAGGAAAAUGCUUGCUGGGGUUUGUCUGUUUUCACGUCUGGUGUGGCUGGAUGUAACAAGAUGCAGUUUCUUGGAGGAAAUCGGAGGAAACUGAGGUUGGCAGAUGACCAGAGGAAUGCUUGCUACCCACAUAGCCUUCUGUUUUACUUGCAGCCGCCUUCUGGAAACAUAUCUUUGAUAGAAUUUGAAAACUUGGCUAUCGAUAGAGUUAAAUUGCGGAAAGCAGUUAAGAGUCUUGGUGUGAGCUAUGUGAAAGGAACCGAGCAGUACCAGAGAAAGCUGGAGGCUGAGCUUCGGAAGCUUAAGUUUUCCUACAGAGAAAACUUGGAAGAUGAAUAUGAGCCCCGAAGAAGAGAUCACGUUUCUCACUUUAUUUUACACCUUGCUUACUGCCAGUCUGAAGAGCUUAGGCGCUGGUUCAUUCAACAAGAAAUGAAUCUCCUUCUAUUUCGAUUCAGUAUUUUACCCAAGGACAAAAUUCAGAGUUUCUUAAAGGAUAGCCAUUUGCAGUUUGAGGCUAUAAGUGAUGAAGAGAAGACUCUCCGAGAACAGGAUAUUGUGGCUUCAUCACACCGUUUAGGUGGGGUUCAGUUGGAGUCAGUUUAUGAGGGCCCUUUUGCUGAUGCUCUGGAUUUGUUCUGAGGAAGGAAAGUCUAUUUGGAAAAUGGCUUUGCUUAUGUACAACUCAAAGACAUUGCGGCGAUCAUCCUGAAUGAAUUUAAAACCAAACUGUCCAAGGUUUUGGCUUUAACAGCCAGGUCCUUGCCUGCUGUGCAGUCAGGUGAGAGACUCCAGCCACUGCUCAGCCACCUCAGUCAUUCGUACACUGGUCAAGACUACAGUACACAGGCAAAUGUUGGGAAGGUUUCUUUAGAUCAGAUCGAUUCGCUUUCUACCAAAUCCUUCCCACCUUGCAUAGAUCAGCUACAUAAAGCCCUAUGGGAAAAUCACCAUCUUCGUCAUGGGGGUCUCACGCAGUACGGCCUCUUCCUGAAGAACAUUGGCCUAACCUUGGAACAGGCGUGGCAGUUCUGGAAGCAGACAUUUAUCAGAGGAAAGAUGGAUCCAGAUAAAGCUGAUAAAGGCUACUCUUACAAUAUCCAUCAUACCUUUGGAAAGGAAGGCAAGAGGACAGACUACACACUUUACAGUUGCCUGAAGAUUAACCUGACCAAUCCACCAAGCCAAGGGGAUUAUCAUGGGUGCCCUUUCUGGCACAGUGAUCCUCAACUGCUGAGGCAGAAGAUGCAAGUGUACAAGAUCCCUCCCUCAGGGAUCAACCAGAUUUUGGAUUUAGUAAAAGGGACACAUUACCAGGUAGCCUGUCAGAAGUUCUUCAAGAUGACACAUAAUGUAGAUGAUUGUGGCUUUUCUUUGAGUCAUCCAAACCAGUUCUUUUUUGAGAGCCAGUGGAUCCUCAGUGGAGGUAAAGACAUCAAGAAGGAAUCCGUCCAACCAGAAACGCCCCAACCCAAACCAAGUGUCCAGAGAAGCAAGGAUGUGUCAUCUGCUCUGGUCUCACUCAACUCCUCUCUGGAAAUGGAUCUGGAGGGACUAGAGGAUUUACUUCAGUGAACAAUCCCUGGGCAGUUGGUAGCCUGUCUUCCUCACUAGCUUUUAUUUCCUACUUUACGAUUUUAUCUUUUUCUUUUUUGUCUGCCUUCUCCCUCCACCCGACCCCCCUUCAUCCAUCCACAUAUGCAUGAGCUUCUCGGGAAGGCAGCCUUGCAGGUAAAAACAAAGACCUCCGGUAUAUUUUGCUUUGACAAAAGAGAAGAAGAAGAAUUUCUUUUGAAAUCUAACGCUUGAAUAGUGUGAUUUAAGUCCCAUUUUAGGAGAUAAAACAGCUUUCUGGAUUGGUUACUGUCCCCUAGAAACAGUACAACUAAGAACAACUUUUAUUUGAAUGCUUAUCACUGUAAUGUUGACCCAGGACUUUUCUGGACCAUUUUUGUUAAUAAAUAUCAAAAUGUAAAAGAAAAAAAAAGUCAUUAUGAAAAGAGCAAUCGGGAAUGUACUAUGAUGCUACUAAUUCUACUGAGAGAUUUUAUUCAGACAUAUUUUUAAAGUGUUUUAUAUGCUCACGCUUAGCACCACUUUAUUCUCUAUAUGGGUAGCACUGUUAUACAGCCAUUACCAUGAUAGUCGAGAGGACUAAACUACGACAAACCAUGGGAUUGUUUAUUAGAGGAAGUUCAGUGAGUAUGGAAGAAUAUAAAAUCAUGUGUACCAUAAACAUGGAGCUAUGGAAAUAUUUGACAGUCAGGAGUGCUCAUCGUUAUGUCUGUGGGUGGCCAGGAUGCUUGGUGCAAACACUGCCUUUCCACUUCAUAGAUGUGUGACCUGUGGUCAAUCCCUUAACUUUGCUGGGUGCCUCAGUUUCCCCAUCUAUAAAAUGUUAAUAAUAGGGCCUGACUUGAUAAUUAAAUGAGUUAAUACAUAGGUAAUGCUCAACAAUACCUCAUGCUGACUGUAUAAAAUGGCAAUAUUAAGCAGGGAAAAUCUUUGUGUUAAGGUGAUAGAUUAUUAUUAACUUUACAUUUCUCCCAACUUGUUAUAUUGUCUUUUCUAGGAAAAAAAAAAAAAAAAAGGCAAAACAGCUCUUGGAAAAACUAAAGUGGUUUCAAUUAUAUUUUGGCUGUUCUUUCUGUUAAACCUUAGUAGCACCUGCCUAUGUUUCUUUGUUUUUGUAAAUUAAAGUUAGCUGAAAAUAGCAAUGAAUUAAGAGAGAAUGUUACCCUUUGCUUCUUUAAUGAAAAGGUAGAAGAGAGUUCUUCUUGACCAUUGCUUUCUUAAGGAGGGAAAUGGAAACGGUGUCUGAGGUGGCUUUUUUAAACAAAAUCACUAAGGGCAUUGAGCCUGUCAUUAAAGAAUGAAAAUUGGAUUCGGUCUUCUUGGAGACACUUGCUUUUGAAUCAUUUGGAAUGUGGCCUCUGGACUAAGGCUAUGCAAUUGAAACCAAAUAUUAUGAAGACAGGAUUUAUUGAUUUUGUUUUUAGAGACAUGAUAUGAGUUCAGUUUUUCAGGAGCUGUUGCAAGUGAGGUAUGAGAAAGUACAUGCGCUAGUCUCCUUAGAGGUGAAAAGGCGUCAGAAUUAACCCAACUCUGGACACUUCCUGGGUCUUAGCAUCUGAAGGAAGGGCUUUUGUUCCCUCCUGCCCCCCACCCCACCCCCAGGCCUCUAAGUCUGUAUGGUAGGCAGGCCCGGAUAAACACACUCACUCUCUAUUCCGGAAGGGGUCGUGGGGAGCUCUUUCAACAUAACCUCUCGUUUUCAGGAUUGUUCUUUCUUGGGUGGUGGCUGCGGCAGCUUUCAUUCUGUAUAAUAUGGCAACAUAAAACAAAACAGUCACCAGCAGGCCCAAAUGACCAGAAAUUGCUGAACAAAGCAGGCCGCAGCUCCAGAUGGAGAGUAAUGAAAAACAGACCGCAGUUCAUUCAGCCACUUAAACACCAGGACCCAGUAAGAGCUAUUGUACAAGUCACAGAGAUUUGCACUGCU
RNA transcript from Aethalodelphis obliquidens (Pacific white-sided dolphin), 4186 nucleotides. It is a transcript of the gene named DNA primase large subunit pseudogene, with no coding region annotated. The record is from RefSeq and is a predicted model, not a curated record. The transcript has a single exon. Lineage: Eukaryota; Metazoa; Chordata; Mammalia; Artiodactyla; Delphinidae.